AGAACGAACGCUGGCGGCAUGCCUAACACAUGCAAGUCGAACGUGAUCCAGGCUUCGGCCUGGUGAAAGUGGCAGACGGGUGAGUAACGCGUGGGAACCUGCCCUGUGGUAGGGAAUAACCGUGGGAAACUGCGGCUAAUACCCUAUGAGUCCUUCGGGAGAAAGAUUUAUCGCCAUAGGAGGGGCCCGCGUCGGAUUAGGUAGUUGGUGGGGUAACGGCCUACCAAGCCUUCGAUCCGUAGCUGGUCUGAGAGGAUGAUCAGCCACACUGGGACUGAGAUACGGCCCAGACUCCUACGGGAGGCAGCAGUGGGAAUAUUGGACAAUGGGGGCAACCCUGAUCCAGCAAUGCCGCGUGGAUGAUGAAGGCCUUCGGGUUGUAAAGUCCUUUCGGCGGGAAGAUGAUGACGGUACCGCAGAAGAAGCCCGGCUAACUUCGUGCCAGCAGCCGC
RNAcentral lists this ribosomal RNA (452 nucleotides) under uncultured bacterium. RNAcentral describes it as "SSU rRNA". It matches the Rfam family "Bacterial small subunit ribosomal RNA", at positions 26 to 518 of the family's 1533-position model. The record is from RNAcentral.